Tripterygium wilfordii is the source of this 878-nucleotide long non-coding RNA. RefSeq lists it as uncharacterized. The transcript is spliced from 3 exons. Lineage: Eukaryota; Viridiplantae; Streptophyta; Magnoliopsida; Celastrales; Celastraceae. The record is from RefSeq and is a predicted model, not a curated record.
AAUGGGUGAAGGCAACUGUGCCUUCACCCGAUAACCUUUAUAUAUAGAAAAAGGGAGAAGGUUGCUUGGCUUCUUCUCUCCACCACCUCCGGCCAGCUGCUUCCGGCGAGUCUCCGGCCGGCAAGGUACUCUCCUCUCUAAGACCACACACAUGCUUCAAUUUCUUACAAGAAAAUAGAAGAUUAAGAUUCAAGUGUGGGUUUUGAUUCAACUUUAGAGAAGAGUUUGAUUUCUUGAAUUGAAGACACAAACCAGCUUCAAGGUUGGUGAAUUUAUGUGGAGUAUACGUUACGUUUGUGGUAAGAAUUUACAAUUCGCUUUAAGGUAGGGAAAUUUCACCCUUUACUAUUCUCUUCGAAUAUGUCCUCCUAUUAAGAACGUUUAUCUUUUCUCAUUGUUCAUUAUGAUUCUUGUUCUCGCCUUAAUUGUCCCUAAGGGAGAACAACCCCAUUGUGUUUACUUUGUUGUAUGACUUGAGUUUUAUUGCAUACCCUACAUGUUCAGUCCUUUAUUGAGCACAAAUUAUUCUUGAACAUGCAUCAUGUAGUAGUAUAUAUAUACGUGGGUUGUAUGUAUACUUCAUUGUUUAACCAUGUUGGACAUGCAUUGUAGUUGCACGGUUGAUGUUGGGUAUGGACCCGUACAUCUCCUAGGUUUGAUUGAUAUGAAAUGUGGAAUGCUGGUGGGUUGUUCAGGGUUCCUAAGAAUAUGGGAACGCCAGUGGGCCGAGUAAGGAUUUCACAUGUACUCGAAGCACCAUGCAAUGAUGUCGCUGGGCUGUUCAGGGUCCCAAUAUGUAUAGGGACGUCGGUGGGUCAAGUUAUGAUCUCGUAUGGUGUGGUUAUCUACUUGGGUUUGGUGUACAUGAUGUUAGCUAU